GAUGAAGAACGUAGCGAAAUGCGAUAAGUAGUGUGAAUUGCAGAAUUCAGUGAAUCAUCGAAUCUUUGAACGCACAUUGCGCCCCUUGGUAUUCCAUGGGGCAUGCCUGUUCGAGCGUCAUUUCAACCCUCGGGCCCCGCAUUCGUGCGGGCCCCGGCGUUGGGGACCGGCCUCCGCAUCGGACGGCCGCCCCCGAAACCCAGUGGCGGUCCCGCCGCGGCCUUCUCUGCGUAGUAGCAUACACCUCGCACUGGAGAGCGGCGCGGCCACGCCGUAAAAGAAACGAACUUUCUGAAGGUUGACCUCGGAUCAGGUAGGAAUACCCGCUGAACUUAAGCAUAUCAAUAAGCGGAGGA
This 356-nucleotide unclassified non-coding RNA is filed under the name soil metagenome. RNAcentral describes it as "partial contains 5.8S ribosomal RNA, internal transcribed spacer 2, and large subunit ribosomal RNA". The stretch from base 1 to 120 matches the Rfam family "5.8S ribosomal RNA", at positions 35 to 154 of the family's 154-position model. The record is from RNAcentral.